GGUCUCAUAGUUCAACGGAUAGAAUAGAAGUUUCCUAAACUUUUGAUCCCAGUUCGAUUCUGGGUGGGACCA
This 72-nucleotide transfer RNA is filed under the name Adhaeribacter arboris. RNAcentral describes it as "Adhaeribacter sp. HMF7605 tRNA-Arg". It matches the Rfam family "tRNA". Rfam says of the family: Transfer RNA (tRNA) molecules are approximately 80 nucleotides in length. Their secondary structure includes four short double-helical elements and three loops (D, anti-codon, and T loops). The record is from RNAcentral. Lineage: Bacteria; Pseudomonadati; Bacteroidota; Cytophagia; Cytophagales; Hymenobacteraceae.